This 221-nucleotide ribosomal RNA is filed under the name uncultured bacterium. RNAcentral's name for it is "partial 16S ribosomal RNA". It matches the Rfam family "Bacterial small subunit ribosomal RNA", at positions 99 to 334 of the family's 1533-position model. The record is from RNAcentral.
CGUACGGGUGAGUAACACGUGGAUCAUCUGCCCUGGAGUGGGGAAUAACGCUGGGAAACCGGCGCUAAUACCGCAUAUCCCCGAGAGGGGAAAGCAGCAAUGCGCUCGAGGAGGAGUCCGCGGCCGAUUAGCUAGUUGGCAGGGUAAAAGCCUACCAAGGCUGUGAUCGGUAGCCGGCCUGAGAGGGCACACGGCCACACUGGCACUGAAACACGGGCCAG